Molecule: long non-coding RNA, 1028 nt
Organism: Oncorhynchus keta (chum salmon)
Lineage: Eukaryota; Metazoa; Chordata; Actinopteri; Salmoniformes; Salmonidae
Exons: 3
Source: RefSeq, a predicted model, not a curated record
UGGAGGUGUGUUCUAGUGGGCCUGGGCAGGUGUGAUGUAGUUAAUGGAGAUGGAGGUGUGUUCUAGUGGGUCUGGGCAGGUGUGAUGUAGUUAAUGGAGAUGGAGGUGUGUUCUAGUGGGUCUGGGCAGGUGUGAUGUAGUUAAUGGAGAUGGAGGUGUGUUCUAGUGGGUCUGGGCAGGUGUGAUGUAGUUAAUGGAGAUGGAGGUGUGUUCUAGUGGGUCUGGGCAGGUGUGAUGUAGUUAAUGGAGAUGGAGGUGUGUUCUAGUGGGUCUGGGCAGGUGUGAUGUAGUUAAUGGAGAUGGAGGUGUGUUCUAGUGGGUCUGGGCAGGUGUGAUGUAGUUAAUGGAGAUGGAGGUGUGUUCUAGUGGGUCUGAUGUAGUUAAUGGAGAUGGAGGUGUGUUCUAGUGGGUCUGAUGUAGUUAAUGGAGAUGGAGGUGUGUUCUAGUGGGUCUGGGCAGGUGUGAUGUAGUUAAUGGAGAUGGAGGUGUGUUCUAGUGGGUCUGGGCAGGUGUGAUGUAGUUAAUGGAGAUGGAGGUGUGUUCUAGUGGGUCUGGGCAGGUGUGAUGUAGUUAAUGGAGAUGGAGGUGUGUUCUAGUGGGUCUGGGCAGGUGUGAUGUAGUUAAUGGAGAUGGAGGUGUGUUCUAGUGGGUCUGGGCAGGUGUGAUGUAGUUAAUGGAGAUGGAGGUGUGUUCUAGUGGGUCUGGGCAGGUGUGAUGUAGUUAAUGGAGAUGGAGGUGUGUUCUAGUGGGUCUGGGCAGGUGUGAUGUAGUUAAUGGAGAUGGAGGUGUGUUCUAGUGGGUCUGGGCAGGUGUGAUGUAGUUAAUGGAGAUGGAGGUGUGUUCUAGUGGGUCUGAUGUAGUUAAUGGAGAUGGAGGUGUGUUCUAGUGGGUCUGAUGUAGUUAAUGGAGAUGGAGGUGUGUUCUAGUGGGUCUGGGCAGGUGUGAUGUACUUCAUGUUUGUAUGAUGUUGUCGUUUGUAUGUUUUGUAUUGUUUAUAAAAAGAUAAAUAAAAUAUUUUUCCCAAUGCA